Non-coding RNA from Potamilus streckersoni, 73 nucleotides. The record is from the annotation of a GenBank genome assembly. NCBI's taxonomy places the organism in Eukaryota, Metazoa, Mollusca, Bivalvia, Unionida, Unionidae.
GCUCCUGUCGCUUAUUGGUUAGAGCUUCCGCCUCAAAUGCAGGAGGUCGUUGGUUCGAUCCCCGGCUGAGUCA